This 389-nucleotide unclassified non-coding RNA is filed under the name Hevea brasiliensis (rubber tree). The record is from RNAcentral. Lineage: Eukaryota; Viridiplantae; Streptophyta; Magnoliopsida; Malpighiales; Euphorbiaceae.
UUUUUUAGUCAUCAUUUUUGUGAUUUCUCUAUUGGAAAAUAAUUUUAUUGAAUUAUCACCUUGAACACUUGGAGAUCUAAUAGAACUGUUUAACUUUUCUGUGUAAAUAAAUUAUAUAAUUAUCUAUCAAAUGAUGAAAAACAAAGAAAAAAUGAGGAGAAGAAGGAUGUGAGUGCAAAGAAGAAGAAACAUAGAGAGAGAAAUAAAGAAAAGAGAAUCGAGGCAAUUUGGGUGUAAUAAAAAUUGAAGGGACUAAAGAGUUAACGAAACCAAAUUAUAGGAUUAAUUAAUGUAUUUUUCAAAAUACAAAAACUAACUAAUUAACUUUACUAAAAUAAAAUGACUAAAUAAUAGUUUGAUUAGUAUUGACUGAUAGAAAAAUUGAAAAA